UUUUAGAUUCAUCCUCUCACAUCUCUUCCGUCUUCUCUAGAGGAAAGCCCUGAUUCAUGCAUUAAGAGAGUAGAAUUGAAUAUAUGCAAUAACUACAGAUCUUUGAGUCAAAAGGAAUGAAGUCGAUUUGCAUUCCAUUUCUACCUAACGGUUCUGCUCCUCAAUAUUAGAUUCAUUCUCUGUUCGUUGUCCAUCUAUAUAUAGUAUACACAUGGGUGUCACAACGUCAACGAUUUGCUCCUUUUGCCUCUUUUUCUCCAAGGGCUACGUCAACGAUUUGCUCUUUUUGCCUCUUUUUCUCCCUGGGCUAUGUCAACGAUUUGCUCCGGCUAAAUUAAUGAAACCCUCUUGUGAUUUAAUUAGGUGAACUAUUAGGCAGGUUCCUCUCUUACUUGAUUAUGAACUGUCUUCAUAAGCCUCCUCUUCACGGUUGUUCUCUCCUCUUGAUUUUUAUGCUUCUCGAUGCAGGUCUCUCUCAAUUUCUUACCAGCUCUCCUCUUCUUCACACAAAGCAACGGCGCUACAAUUCCUUAUCCAGGCCAGAUUCGCUUUUCAUUCCCCAACUCUAAUCGUCAUCGACUCUCUGUACAAACUUUUUAGUCAGCCAAUCUCUCCAAGGGUGAUGGAAAUUCACUUGACUCGCUCAUGAUCCGUCUUCCUUUUGUGCUUCCUUCCAGGGAGCUUUGGUCAUUCUAAUGCUUUUUGAUUAUUGAGUUCUAUGAGAACUGAAAGUUUCAGUCUGCUUAUUCCGUGUGGUAUGCAUGGUUGCUCUCUUUUUGGGUCUCUAUGGUUUGUGGAGCCUCAUAUGCGGAGUAGGAAUUGAGCGAUCAAGAGAGGUGAUUGUGGAGAAAACUGGGAGAAGUGACAUAGUGAACAUUGACAAGAAGAAGUUAUAAGUCGUAACAAACGAGCAAUAGUACAUUCAGAAACAAGUGUUGAGGUUGUUGGUGCAUCAAGAGAUUCUUCUGCUCAACAUAUAUUUCAUAGCGAUGAUGGUAGGUCGAUUGAAGAAAUUUCAGAGGACAAAUCAGCAGACAAUGAUGAAGGGAUAUCCGCUAAUAGUAGUUUGCCAGACGACAUCAAUGAGAAGAGAUACAAGAGAAAGAAGCUAAACAUUGAUUCAGAGUAGACUUCCCAUGGAUGCUAAGGUUUACUUAUGUCUAACUGCUUGCUUUGUUAAACACCGUGGGAAGAUAUCCUGUUGAUUAACUAUUUAGGCUUAAUAAUUUCAACAACUAUAAAAGAGAAUUUUCUGUCAAUGGGAAAGUCUAAUGAUUUCCUCAUCUAUUUUUUCUAAGUAUGGAAUUGUUAUGUUAAAUAAUGUCAUCGUGAGUUGACAAUGAUUACAUAUUGGAAACAACUUAUGAUAA
This is a long non-coding RNA of Tripterygium wilfordii, 1370 nucleotides long. RefSeq lists it as uncharacterized. The record is from RefSeq and is a predicted model, not a curated record. The transcript has 8 exons. NCBI's taxonomy places the organism in Eukaryota, Viridiplantae, Streptophyta, Magnoliopsida, Celastrales, Celastraceae.